CGAAUUCGCCGACUUUGAUUCAGGAUCUCAGCUCCCUCUUUGCCUCAGAUUCGAGUUUUGCUUAGUGGUGGGUUUUCUCAAUUCAGAUCAUGCUAUUCUCGAGUUCAGAUUAGCUAUGUCGACGCUUUGGACCGGCUGGAGCGCGAAUUCCGACGGUUACAAGAGUUGAAGACUGCUGGUAGCUCAACGUACACAGCCAUUUGGAUGGAAUCUCGUCUACAAGCAUGGCACGACACUCGGGCUUCGGCUGGACUUGAGAUUCAAACGCAACAAAGUCGGGUGGAUCAAAUGGAGGCCUUGGCUAUCUUGGGGAUGGCGAAGGGUGACUUGGAGCGUUCACGAGUUGUGAUAUCCGGAAAAUUGGAGCUCUCGAAACAGAAGUUAGCCAAGAUCCAACAAGAGGCUGCGAAAACAUUAUCCCUCACCGAGGAAUCCUUCAAGGUUGCAUUGCAGUGUGAGCUUGAGCGAACUUAUACAGAGGAAUGGA
Molecule: long non-coding RNA, 487 nt
Organism: Asparagus officinalis (garden asparagus)
Lineage: Eukaryota; Viridiplantae; Streptophyta; Magnoliopsida; Asparagales; Asparagaceae
Exons: 3
Source: RefSeq, a predicted model, not a curated record